RNAcentral lists this long non-coding RNA (266 nucleotides) under Mytilus galloprovincialis (Mediterranean mussel). Lineage: Eukaryota; Metazoa; Mollusca; Bivalvia; Mytilida; Mytilidae. The record is from RNAcentral.
AAAGAGGCAUAACUGUUUCCAAAUUGAAUAAUCGUCACUCAGAUUUUGAUCCUCUGAUAUGAUAUGAAUCUAGAAUGUAAAGUUUAUAAAAAUAUAGCAAGAAUUGCACACGCCAGAGUGAUAAUAAGACCAGAUAGAUGGAUCCUUCAUUGACAGACAAUGGGCGUACAGAUUUCUAUGUCCCAAGCAAUGCUUUGGGCUGGGGGUAAAACAGUGAUAUAAAACAUAAAUAAUCUUUUAUGAAAGGUUUGUGACAUAUAACUUUU